RNAcentral lists this long non-coding RNA (577 nucleotides) under Sus scrofa (pig). Its description in RNAcentral is "lncRNA (ENSSSCG00040052526.1, ENSSSCG00060004748.1)". The stretch from base 277 to 384 matches the Rfam family "mir-223 microRNA precursor family". Lineage: Eukaryota; Metazoa; Chordata; Mammalia; Artiodactyla; Suidae. The record is from RNAcentral.
AUAAAGCCCAAUUCCCUCUGGCCUCGGCAGUUUGGAUCAUCACCAGGGAACCAACCUAUGCCUCCUACGAGAUGAAAGCACCACUCCAAUAACAGAGAAUCCUAUUGAAGUUCAAGACCCCUAGAAAUGCCACAGUUUAGGACUCAUAUCUGAGGACCUCCCCUGGUGAACACUGGAACUUCAUUUGCAGUAUCAACUGGGCCUUUGCUACAUACCCUCAGGAUCAUUCCUCUGGGCCACAUCUCCCAGGAAGAUCUCACCUCACCACUGAAGCUCCUGGUCCAACCUGCAAUGCCACGCUCCGUGUAUUUGACAAGCUGAGUUGGACACUCCAUGUAGUAGAGUGUCAGUUUGUCAAAUACCCCAAGUGCGGCAUAUGCCUAGCAGCACCAGGCCAGAACUUCAAGAUAAAAUAAAUAGACUGCCAGCUGGAUACAAGAACAUCAAUCAACUUAGCUUUCAGAGGCUAUUUUUGGUAAAUUUGAUGCUACUAAAGCAUUGCACCUGAGAGUGUCAAAGUGAGGCAGCUCUGCUACACACACUGUGGGAGCCCUAGUGGGACACAGUAGUCUUGAAG